Papaver somniferum (opium poppy) is the source of this 2828-nucleotide long non-coding RNA. RefSeq lists it as uncharacterized. The transcript has 2 exons. The record is from RefSeq and is a predicted model, not a curated record. NCBI's taxonomy places the organism in Eukaryota, Viridiplantae, Streptophyta, Magnoliopsida, Ranunculales, Papaveraceae.
GUUAGACAUGUGAGGAAACAUAGGCGCAGCUUCUGUGAGAAAUUGAUGGAGAUUCAGAGAGAUCGAGAAAUGAAGAAGUUAGGGUUUGCUGAUGCUGAGAAGAACAAGGAAAAGUUUAUAGUUCUAAUGGAAGAAUUGGUAGCACAGAAGAUUUACAAGGAAUGAGAAGAACAAAUGGGUUUUACUGAAUCAAGAAGUAUCUCAAGAUGUUGGUGACGAAUUGAGGGUUUGAAGCAGAAAUUGGGGUUUUAAGAAAGUAAAUCUGGGAGAUGGGUUUUCCAGUCGAGGGUUCAGUCAAGAUCAGAUGGGUUGGUUAUGAAUUAGAAUAUGGGAAUUUUGAGUCUGUUGAUGUGCAUCUGCGAUGAAUUAGGGUUUCAUUGAAUGGGAAUUUGAGAUCGAAAUGGAAAAGCAGAGAAGAUCAUGGGGUACCUAGUGAUUUGAAGAUCUGACAUGGAGUUAACUAAAGCUGAGGGGAUUUUAGAGAUGGGUUUCCAGAAGAUGAGAAGAAGAAUAUGUUAGACAUGUUUAUACUUGUGAUUGAGGCUCUGUUGAGAUGGAAGGAGCAGGCUUGAGCUUCUGAAAUGGUGCUUCUGCAAUGGUAAUGUUGGUGCUUGAGGUAGUUGAUGGCAUUGGUUUCAGGGAGAUGAUUAUGAGACAGUGAAGAGAAAACUCAGCUGGAAUGGAGUUAGUGGUGAUGAAUCUCAGAAAUGGGUACUUGAAUUGUGCUGGUUGUGUUGGUGUCCUUGAGAUUGAGAUAGAGAUGAUGAUGGUAGCUUGGUGCAUCAGCGGAGUGAUUUGGUAGAUGAAUGUUAGGUGCAGGUUUUGGAACUGGUAAUUGAAGCUGCAAUGAAGUGAAGGGAAUGAUGAAUUUCAAUAAGAGAAGUAACAUGAGAUGGGUCUGGUUGUGUAACUGAGCUGAAGGUAGUAUUGAAAUGGAACUGAUGGUGAAGUUGGUGGUGAAUUUGAGCAGGUGGUUUUGAUGAUUGCCAUAGAGAUGAGAUUGCAGGAAAAAAUGGAAUAGGUGGAAGAUGGUGUUGGUUGUGGAGCUAUGGAAUCUGUAGCUCAGAUGAAGUGGUUGCUGUGCAGGGGAGCUACCUUUAAUGCUGUAUUUGGUGACUGAUGGCUGGUCUGCAAGUAUUUGGUGGUGCAAGUGGAUUUAAGAACUGGUGCUGCUGGAUAUGGAGUUGCAGCUAGAAACUCAAAGCAAGCAGUGUGUAUGAAUUACAGGGAAGAUGGAGCCCGAUAGCUGAGUUAGAAAAACAGAAUGUGGAUCUGAUGCCUGGAUUAGAUGGACAUCUUGAACUUGAGUUAAAGCUGCAGAAUUGGACUGAAAUUGGUUGAAUUUGAGCUGAGAUGGCAAAGGUUCUGGCGGAGUUAAUUGCUACUACAAAGUGGAUUGAAUGGCUUAAGCUGAGCAGGCAAUGGAGUUGCGGUUGCAGAAUGGUUCGAGACUGGUGGAAUUUUGUUGCGGUGAAACCAAGGAAGUUUGUAAGGCUGAAAUGGAUUGUGUGAAGUUACAGAAGAACAAGGGACUGAGCAGCAGGUGAUGAUGUUAGUUAGCUAGCCAUGGCUGGUGCUCUUGCUUUGAGAUUAUGGAGUUGAAAUGCUCGGGACUGAAUGGUGGUACUGUGAGUUGUUGGCGUGAGCCAGUGAAGCAAUGGCUCGGAAUUAAGUUACAGGUGGUAAUGAAUGGUGGUUGUGGUCAAGAGAGUAAGAAGAUGCAAAGAGCUGGCUCAGAAUUGCAUUUCAGGAGUAGUGUGCUGCAAUGAACUUCAGGUUGCAGGGGAAGUAAUGCACAAUGAUGGUAUUUUUGGAAAAUAAAUAUUGUUGGAAAAUUUGGCUCGAAAAGUUGCUCGGAGUAUCCCGGGAGGACAAUUGCUAUACGGACCCCCACUUUUGCUAAGGGGCACCCACGACUACAUGCAGCCCAUUUGUCUAUAGCACCUACUGGUUAUUUGGUACCCAAGAUGCUGGAUAAGGGCUAACCUCCUCCUUCUUCGUUUGAAUUAAGAAAAUGGCGGGAAAAUAUUCACAGAUUUUCAGUUCGUGAUUUGGAGGGGUUAUAGUGUGACUCAAUGGCUGAAAUUUCACGGGACGACUUGAUUAAGAUUAGCAGGCAUGGUAUGAUCAAUGGUUUAGGUUAGAAUUGGCUGGAGCAUCAGAUGGAAUAAAUCAGGGAGUUACGUGUUUUGAUAAACCCGAUAUUGUUGUUUUGGAUUUGGACGACUUCUAGUGAGAUUAAAGCGCUAAAAUCAGUUGGACUGGGCCUGUUGCAACUAAACAUGACAGGUAAUUACAUCAAAUUCGAAUAAAUGGGGUUGCAGAAUCAUAUUUGAGCAAAACAGGGAGGAUAUAUCUUCUCGGGUUUAUUUCUGGGAAGUGUGUGCUUUAACUGGAGGCUUGCGUGUGGAAACUAGGUUUUUGGUGACUUUUGGAACGUGUUUGUAUCAUGACAGCUAAGGAGUAACGCGUGGGUUGAUAAAUCAGGGAAUAAAAUCCUUGACUGGCUGCGAAGAAUACUAUCGAGCAAUGAAAGAAUAUAUGGAGUUAUGACGCAUGAUUUCGGUGCAUGAAGGAGUAUAUAAGGUGUGGUGGAGUAAUAGACCAGGGAAGGAGAGUUUGGGAGAGUUUAGAACAUUAGAGAGUCGAGAAAAAUUAAGUUGCAGAGCUGCCAUUUUCUGCUGCUGCAUACCUGAAGAACACGAAGAAUAGACCAACCAUGACAGUCGUUUAUCAACAGCGAUAACGACACAGAUACGUUGGUCGUAGAAGCUAUAGUAACAACGGCAGUUUGCUUUUAUCGUUCUUUGUAACAGCUCGGUUUGUAA